CAGUUUAGUGUAAUUCAUCGGCUGUACAAAGCAGAAACUAUUAGAAUGGAUUCUGCUCUUUUACUGCUUAUACUUUCCAGCCUGGCUUACGUCCAGUGUCAGUCUCAACAGAAGGUCUCUCAGUGGCCCUCACAGACAGUGGUGACCCAGGGCUCCUCUGUGGAGCUCCAGUGCAGUCAGAGUGGCUCUGAUACCUACAUGUACUGGUACCGCCAGCAGAGCUCUACAGGACUACAGCUUGUCAUGUUUUCUGUGUACCUGAAUGAGCCAGAGAGGGGAGAGAACAUCAGCGCUAGAUUCACCAGCACCAGACCAAAGACAGAGAAUAUCUCUCUCACUAUCACUCAGACAGAGGAGUCUGACACAGGUGUUUACUUCUGUGCAGUGAGUCCCACAGCAAGCGACUCUGUCCCUCCUCCUGCAACAAAACACAAGAUUAUUAGAGGAGAAGGCUGACCAGUAGAUGGAGCUAGUACGGGCAACAUCUACAUAACCUCCAUGUUACACACGAGUGUGACCUCACAGAAAUGAGACGCAAUAUUCAGUUCCUCAGAGCAGAUCUGAGAUGAGCUGUGAAGAGUGUGACUCUGUAGGAGUCAGCUCAUGUUCUGAAACAGAGGAAAGGUGCUCUCAGUGAUGAUCCAUCAGAACACACCAUGCUACUGAAGAUGGACACAGUUUGCUAUCGACCUUCAUGUGCUCUCUACAUCAUCUAUCUGUUUGGGUUCUCAGGAGCCAUCAAUGUUGAGCAGUCCCCAUCAUCUCUCUUUGGGAAACUCAGUGAUGAUGUCCAGCUCACCUGCCAAUAUGAUGACAGCAGCUAUGGCAGAAUGUAUUGGUACCAGCGAGUUAAAGGGAAACAGUCAUUAGAGCUUGUUGGAUUCCUUAACUAUGACAAUGUCAACCAAGAGGAAAAGUACACAAGCAAAUUUAAUUUGACAGGAAAUGGAAAUAAGAAAGGCUCUUUGUUCAUCUUAAAGUUAAAUGCUGAAGACAGCGGCACAUAUUUCUGUGCAGCUAGUCAGCACAGUGGUACAGAGUGUCUUGCACUUUCACAAAAAACCCACCAACCAUAACUGCUGGCUAAACAUGCCUAAGAACGUUUCUUUUUCUCUGUGACUGCAUUCACUGACACAUCCAAACACAAUAAAACCUUGCUUCAAUGUU
Non-coding RNA from Conger conger (European conger), 1167 nucleotides. NCBI's taxonomy places the organism in Eukaryota, Metazoa, Chordata, Actinopteri, Anguilliformes, Congridae. The record is from the annotation of a RefSeq genome assembly.